RNAcentral lists this transfer RNA (71 nucleotides) under Loxodonta africana (African savanna elephant). It matches the Rfam family "tRNA". Rfam says of the family: Transfer RNA (tRNA) molecules are approximately 80 nucleotides in length. Their secondary structure includes four short double-helical elements and three loops (D, anti-codon, and T loops). The record is from Rfam by way of RNAcentral. Lineage: Eukaryota; Metazoa; Chordata; Mammalia; Proboscidea; Elephantidae.
GCAUUGAUGGUUCAGUGGCAGAAUUCUUGCCUUUCUUGUGGGAGACCUGGGUUCAAUUCCCAGCCAGCGCA